RNAcentral lists this ribosomal RNA (204 nucleotides) under uncultured bacterium. RNAcentral's name for it is "partial 16S ribosomal RNA". It matches the Rfam family "Bacterial small subunit ribosomal RNA", at positions 338 to 534 of the family's 1533-position model. The record is from RNAcentral.
CCUACGGGAGGCAGCAGUGGGGAAUUUUGGACAAUGGGCGCAAGCCUGAUCCAGCAAUGCCGCGUGCAGGAUGAAGGCCUUCGGGUUGUAAACUGCUUUUGUACGGAACGAAACGGUCCUUUCUAAUACAAGGGGCUAAUGACGGUACCGUAAGAAUAAGCACCGGCUAACUACGUGCCAGCAGCCGCGGUAAUACGUAGGGUG